Molecule: long non-coding RNA, 1578 nt
Organism: Oncorhynchus kisutch (coho salmon)
Lineage: Eukaryota; Metazoa; Chordata; Actinopteri; Salmoniformes; Salmonidae
Source: Ensembl
GGCAGGGAAUACACUGAGGAGCCACAGAAAACUUCUCUGUCUCUUUGUCUUAGUCUCGCAGUCUCUCUGUCUCUCUCUCUAUCGCAGUCUCUCUGUCUCUCUCUCUGUCGCUCUCUCUAUCGCAGUCUCUCUGUUGCUCUCUCUAUCGCAGUCUCUCUGUCUCUCUCUCUGUCGCUCUCUCUAUCGCAGUCUCUCUGUUGCUCUCUCUAUCGCAGUCUCUCUGUUGCUCUCUCUAUCGCAGUCUCUCUGUCUCUCUCUCUGUCGCUCUCUCUAUCGCAGUCUCUCUGUUGCUCUCUCUAUCGCAGUCUCUCUGUCUCUCUCUUUACCACAGUCUCUCUGUCUCUCUCUCUAUCGCAGUCUCUCUCUCUAUCGCAGUCUCUGUCUCUCUCUCUAUCGCAGUCUCUGUCUCUCUCUCUAUCGCAGUCUCUGUCUCUCUCUCUAUCGCAGUCUCUGUCUCUCUCUCUAUCGCAGUCUCUGUCUCUCUCUCUAUCGCAGUCUCUGUCUCUCUCUCUAUCGCAGUCUCUGUCUCUCUCUCUAUCGCAGUCUCUGUCUCUCUCUCUAUCGCAGUCUCUGUCUCUCUCUCUAUCGCAGUCUCUCUCUAUCACAGUCUCUCUGUCUCUCUCUCUAUCUCAGUCUCUCUGUCUCUCUCUCUGUCACUCUAUCGCAGUCUCUCUGUUGCUCUCUCUAUCGCAGUCUCUCUGUCUCUCUCUCUGUCGCUCUCUCUAUCGCAGUCUCUCUGUUGCUCUCUCUAUCACAGUCUCUCUGUCUCUCUCUCUGUCGCUCUCUCUAUCGCAGUCUCUCUGUUGCUCUCUCUAUCACAGUCUCUCUGUCUCUCUCUCUAUCACAGUCUCUCUGUCUCUCUAUCACAGUCUCUCUGUCGCUCUCUCUAUCGCAGUCUCUCUGUUGCUCUCUCUAUCGCCGUCUCUCUGUUGCUCUCUCUAUCGCAGUCUCUCUGUCUCUCUCUCUAUCGCAGUCUCUGUCUCUCUCUCUAUCACAGUCUCUCUGUCUCUCUCUCUAUCACAGUCUCUCUGUCUCUCUAUCACAGUCUCUGUCGCUCUCUCUAUCGCAGUCUCUCUGUCCCUCUCUGUCUCUCUCUCUAUCGCAGUCUCUCUGUCGCUCUCUAUCGCAGUCUCUCUGUCGCUCUCUAUCGCAGUCUCUCUGUUGCUCUCUAUUGCAGUCUCUCUGUCUCUCUCUAUCGCAGUCUCUCUGUCCCUCUCUGUCUCUCUCUCUAUCGCAGUCUCUCUGUCGCUCUCUAUCGCAGUCUCUCUGUCGCUCUCUAUCGCAGUCUCUCUGUCGCUCUCUAUCGCAGUCUCUCUGUUGCUCUCUAUUGCAGUCUCUCUGUCUCUCUCUAUCGCAGUCUCUCUGUCUCUCUCUGUCUCUCUCGCUCUAUUGCAGUCUCUUUGUCUCUCUCUCUAUCGCAGUCUCUCUCUCUCUCUCUCUCUCUCUCUCUCUGUCUCUCUGUUUCACAGUUUCUGUCUCUCUCUCAGUCAAUUCAAUUUCAAUUCAAGGGCUUUAUUAGCCUGGGAAACAUAUAUUACCAUUGACAAAGCAAGAGAAAUAGAUAACAGACAAAAGUGA